CCCCUGGGACACUGCUCAAGAUGCUGACUGCCAGGGAGCCCAUCGCCAAUUUGUGGUGGCCCCCAGGCAGGACAGGGCCAAGGACUAGCUGGUCCUGUGCGGGACCCACCACAGCAGCGUGCUAACCCCUGCUGACAGACAGCGGUGGCACCGGCCAGGAGUCCGCGGAAGCCAGGUCUCCAGCCUGGAAGGCAAGGAUUCUCCCACUUGGCACUUAUUCCCUGGACCCAGUCUCUGGAUCUGGAGGGAGCGGAUGAGCGAGGGGACCUGCCUGCAGCCCUGGUUUCUGGCAUGGGGCUGUGGGGUGACUGUGUGGGCUUGGGAGAGUCAUUUCUACCCCUCUUAUUCUCCGCCAGCCUCUGGCCACCAGAAGGCAGCUCCUCACUGCUGUGCUUCCUCCCCAUGCAGCAAUGGUGGUGAAGGCCGUGGGACCCCUGUCCUGAAAGGGCCAGGCCACAAUGACCAUGUGCUGUAUUCCAUGUCACUUCGGCCCCUUUGGCAGCAGCUCUGCCCAGCGACCGUGUGUCUGACCCCCAAACUGAGGUGUGUGGUCAGCGCAUCCGACAGGUGAACCAAGAGCAGAGUGGGCUCUUGGGAUCGGAAAGGGAUUUCUUCUGGGAAACCCGUUCACCCUGCCGACCCGGCCUGUCCCGCGCACCCCCUUCAGGGCCAGGUCCUUCUGGACCGGCCCUGGCCCUGGGUCCCCUGCUGCUGUUCCUGUCAGGGGCGUCUCCUCACAGGUCUCAUCGACCUCGCAGACCUCAGCCCUGUCUUCUUUCUUCAUCAACAAACCUUCUCUGCUUACAAGACAGGAGCUCCAGGGACACAGUGGAUUAAGUGACAGGCUGCCAGCCAGAGGGUCAGCGGUUCGACCCAUCGAGGCAUCACUGGCUUUGCUGCUCUGGGGAACCCAACCUAACACAAAGGCCGAAGCCCUGGGGACGCGUGGUGACAGCUCUCCCCCAGCUGCUUUAAGAGGGGUCCAUGGCCACCCGUACCCGCUUGUGUCAGUGGCGUAGUGACUGCAGCUUGCGGUUGGCCGGAAACCAGUUCCUUCCACUCCGGAAUCCAGGAACGUGUGUUCUAAUCCAUGUGAACAUGAGUGGCAGCUGAUUAUUCUUAUUUUUAAAAUCCAGAACGUGACAAGUCAAAUCUCCUUAAAAUCGUACCCCGCUUUUGCCAGGCCUACCCAUGGGAUGAUGUGUAAUACACGCUUCUCUCAGACGCCCUCGCUGACGCUAGCCGAGAGGGAGAAUGCCAAAGUAAUGGUCCUUCAAGGAAACGGCAGACACAGAGCCAGCGACCAAGCUGCAAAGAACAAAGACACAAUCGGAGGACUGUCACUCUCAGACCCAAAGUGAUCUACUUCCCAGGCACACUGAAUGGCAGCCUCUGGGCCGGUGAAUUCUGGGAUUGGACCCCACGUUCUCCAAGAGCCACGGUGAGUCACUCCUGACGUGAUGGCACCUGACAACCACAACAAACAACAGGUAGCUGUUUUCAGUUCCUUGAAGAACCGAAACACCAUGUUCCACCGUGGCUGUACCAUUUCGUCAAGAAAUAGUUGUGUCAGAAGAAAGAAAAUGUUUUGAGACUGAUUGUAGUAGCAAUUGUACAAGUAUGCUCAAUAUAUUUCAGUUAUGGAAUGUUAUGACAUCUGUAAACGCGCCCAAUAAAACGAUGACUAAUAAUAAUAAAAAGAAAGGGUUGA
Echinops telfairi (small Madagascar hedgehog) is the source of this 1711-nucleotide long non-coding RNA. RefSeq lists it as uncharacterized. The transcript has 3 exons. The record is from RefSeq and is a predicted model, not a curated record. NCBI's taxonomy places the organism in Eukaryota, Metazoa, Chordata, Mammalia, Afrosoricida, Tenrecidae.